Molecule: transfer RNA, 72 nt
Filed under: Ovis aries (sheep)
Lineage: Eukaryota; Metazoa; Chordata; Mammalia; Artiodactyla; Bovidae
Rfam family: tRNA
About the family: Transfer RNA (tRNA) molecules are approximately 80 nucleotides in length. Their secondary structure includes four short double-helical elements and three loops (D, anti-codon, and T loops).
Source: Rfam by way of RNAcentral
CCCUGGUGGGCUCAGAUGGUAAAGAAUCUACCUGUAAUGUGGAAGACCCAGGUUCAAUCCCUGGGUUGGGGA